RNAcentral lists this ribosomal RNA (424 nucleotides) under uncultured prokaryote. RNAcentral describes it as "bacterial SSU rRNA". It matches the Rfam family "Bacterial small subunit ribosomal RNA", at positions 355 to 774 of the family's 1533-position model. The record is from RNAcentral.
UUAAGAAUCUUGCACAAUGGGCGCAAGCCUGAUGCAGCGACGCCGCGUGAAUGAUGAAGGCUUUAGGGUUGUAAAGUUCAGUAAGCAGGGAAGAAUAAGCGCCGGGUAAUAUUCGGUGUGAUGACGGUACCUGCCUAAAGCCCCGGCUAACUACGUGCCAGCAGCCGCGGUAAUACGUAUGGGGCGAGCGUUGUUCGGAAUUAUUGGGCGUAAAGGGCGUCUAGGCGGGGAUUUAAGUUAGGUGUGAAAGCUAUGGGCUCAACCCAUAAACUGCAUCUAAAACUGGAUCUCUUGAGUUCGGGAGAGGAGAGCGGAAUUCCAGGUGUAGCUGUGAAAUGCGUAGAUAUCUGGAAGAACACCAGUGGCGAAGGCGGCUCUCUGGCCUAGAACUGACGCUGAAGCGCGAAAGCGUGGGGAGCGAACA